CGGAGGGUGCAAGCGUUAAUCGGAAUUACUGGGCGUAAAGGGUUCGUAGGUGGUUUAUUAAGUUAUUUGUAAAAUCCCUGGGCUUAACCUGGGCAGGUCAGAUAAUACUGGUAGACUCGAGUAUGGGAGAGGGUAGUGGAAUUUCCGGUGUAGCGGUGAAAUGCGUAGAGAUCGGAAGGAACACCAGUGGCGAAGGCGGCUACCUGGCCUAAUACUGACACUGAGGAACGAAAGCGUGGGGAGCAAACAGGAUUAGAUACCCUGGUAGUCCACGCCGUAAACGAUGUCAACUAGCUGUUGGUCAUACUGAUAUGAUUAGUAGCGCAGCAAACGCGAUAAGUUGACCGCCUGGGGAGUACGGUCGCAAGAUUA
RNAcentral lists this ribosomal RNA (372 nucleotides) under uncultured organism. Its description in RNAcentral is "bacterial SSU rRNA". It matches the Rfam family "Bacterial small subunit ribosomal RNA", at positions 526 to 896 of the family's 1533-position model. The record is from RNAcentral.